CAAGUCGAACGAUGAUCUCCAGCUUGCUGGGGGGAUUAGUGGCGAACGGGUGAGUAACACGUGAGUAACCUGCCCUUGACUCUGGGAUAAGCCUGGGAAACUGGGUCUAAUACCGGAUAUGACUGCUCCGCGCAUGCGGUGGUGGUGGAAAGCUUUUGCGGUUUUGGAUGGACUCGCGGCCUAUCAGCUUGUUGGUGGGGUAAUGGCCUACCAAGGCGACGACGGGUAGCCGGCCUGAGAGGGUGACCGGCCACACUGGGACUGAGACACGGCCCAGACUCCUACGGGAGGCAGCAGUGGGGAAUAUUGCACAAUGGGCGAAAGCCUGAUGCAGCGACGCCGCGUGAGGGAUGACGGCCUUCGGGUUGUAAACCUCUUUCAGUAGGGAAGAAGCGUAAGUGACGGUACCUGCAGAAGAAGCGCCGGCUAACUACGUGCCAGCAGCCGCGGUAAUACGUAGGGCGCAAGCGUUAUCCGGAAUUAUUGGGCGUAAAGAGCUCGUAGGCGGUUUGUCGCGUCUGCUGUGAAAGACCGGGGCUCAACUCCGGUUCUGCAGUGGGUACGGGCAGACUAGAGUGAUGUAGGGGAGACUGGAAUUCCUGGUGUAGCGGUGAAAUGCGCAGAUAUCAGGAGGAACACCGAUGGCGAAGGCAGGUCUCUGGGCAUUAACUGACGCUGAGGAGCGAAAGCAUGGGGAGCGAACAGGAUUAGAUACCCUGGUAGUCCAUGCCGUAAACGUUGGGCACUAGGUGUGGGGGACAUUCCACGUUUUCCGCGCCGUAGCUAACGCAUUAAGUGCCCCGCCUGGGGAGUACGGCCGCAAGGCUAAAACUCAAAGGAAUUGACGGGGGCCCGCACAAGCGGCGGAGCAUGCGGAUUAAUUCGAUGCAACGCGAAGAACCUUACCAAGGCUUGACAUGAACUAGUAAA
This 930-nucleotide ribosomal RNA is filed under the name Arthrobacter sp. Its description in RNAcentral is "bacterial SSU rRNA". It matches the Rfam family "Bacterial small subunit ribosomal RNA", at positions 58 to 997 of the family's 1533-position model. Lineage: Bacteria; Bacillati; Actinomycetota; Actinomycetes; Micrococcales; Micrococcaceae. The record is from RNAcentral.